Molecule: long non-coding RNA, 786 nt
Filed under: Sorghum bicolor (sorghum)
Lineage: Eukaryota; Viridiplantae; Streptophyta; Magnoliopsida; Poales; Poaceae
Description: long non-coding RNA (SBIC_LNC009934)
Source: RNAcentral
AGUAAAGUCCAUCACCGGUCCCUAAACUUGUUUGGGUGUGUCAUCCCGGUCCUUAAACUCACAAAACGAUUGUUUAGGUACCUAAACUUGUUCGGCUGUGUCAACCUAGUCCCUAAACUUAGAAAUCUCCCAUAUAGGUCAUCAAACUUGUUCAGUUGUGUCAUCCCAGUCCCUAAACUUGUUUUUAAGUCUCAUCCAGAUCAAAGCAGGGUGAAUCUAAAAACUCUAUAUAGGAAAAUAAUUAAUAACUUUUUCAUAUGAACUCAAAUGAAGAUAAACUUUAUAUCAAAUUUGUAGUAAGCAAUGCGAUCUACAACUUUGUAGUUGAAAAGUUUUUAAAUUGAAAUCUUUUGGGGUCCCAAAAUAUUUUUUGAAAGUUUUUAGAUCUAGAAAUUUAAAAUGACUUUAAAUAUUAAACGACUUUAAAUAAAAAACAUUUCAACUAUAAAGUUGUAGAACGCAUUAAGGGCUACAACUUUGAUAUAAAGUUUGUCUUCAUUCGAGUACAUAUGAAAAAGUUAUGAAUUAUUUUUAAUAUAGAGUUUUUAGAUCACUUUGUUUUGAUCCAGAUGAGACUUAAAAUCAAGUUUAGGGACCCGGAUGACACAACUGAACAAAUUUGAGGACUUAAACGGGUGAUUUUUAAGUUUAGGGACCUAAAUGACACAACUAAACAAGUUUAGGGACUGAGAUGAUACAGACGAACAAGUUCGAGGACCUAAAUGGUCGAUUUGCAAGUUUAGGGACCGGGAUGACACAUUAAUAUAAGUUUAGGGACCGGUGGUG